GAAAAAUGGUGUUUCCAGUCGUGUCCGUGCAUUUUCUCAUGAACCAUUCAACCAAAGCUUUUGAAAUUUUCAUAUGUUGUUACUGAUGACAAAAUAGAGGUCAAGUUCAAUAAUGACGAUUUUGACUUUUACCGUUCAGGAGUUAUGGUUCUUGAAAGAUCGUAAAAUGGCGUUUCCAUUCACUUUAUUGCAUUUACUCAUUAACCAUUCAAUCUAAGCUUUUCAAAUUUUAAUAUGUUGAUACUGAUGACAAAAUGGAGGUCAAAUUUGAUAUUGACGAUUUUCACUUUCACCAUUCAUCAGUAAUGGUUCUUGUGAUAUUGCCAGGACACAAAUAAAUGUUAAUAAAUCCGGUUUGCUGUCGUUGUGACAGCCUCUUGUUUAUGGUUGU
Molecule: long non-coding RNA, 391 nt
Filed under: Mytilus galloprovincialis (Mediterranean mussel)
Lineage: Eukaryota; Metazoa; Mollusca; Bivalvia; Mytilida; Mytilidae
Source: RNAcentral